RNAcentral lists this ribosomal RNA (811 nucleotides) under uncultured Campylobacterota bacterium. RNAcentral describes it as "bacterial SSU rRNA". It matches the Rfam family "Bacterial small subunit ribosomal RNA", at positions 33 to 854 of the family's 1533-position model. Lineage: Bacteria; Pseudomonadati; Campylobacterota. The record is from RNAcentral.
ACGCUGGCGGCGUGCCUAACACAUGCAAGUCGAACGAGAACGGGUUAUAGCUUGCUAUAACUGUCAGCUGAGUGGCGCACGGGUGAGUAAUAUAUAGUUAACCUGCCCUCGAGAAAGGAAUAACAGUUGGAAACGACUGCUAAUGCCCUAUAUGCCUUUAUGACAUAAGUCAGCAAGGGAAAUGCUUUUGUGCUCGAGGAUGGGACUGUAUGGUAUCAGAUAGUUGGUGGGGUAAUGGCCUACCAAGUCAAUGACGCCUAACUGGUUUGAGAGGAUGAUCAGUCACACUGGAACUGAGACACGGUCCAGACUCCUACGGGAGGCAGCAGUGGGGAAUAUUGCACAAUGGAGGAAACUCUGAUGCAGCAACGCCGCGUGGAGGAUGACACAUUUCGGUGCGUAAACUCCUUUUAUAUAGGAAGAUAAUGACGGUACUAUAUGAAUAAGCACCGGCUAACUCCGUGCCAGCAGCCGCGGUAAUACGGAGGGUGCAAGCGUUACUCGGAAUCACUGGGCGUAAAGAGCGUGUAGGCGGGUAAAUAAGUUUGAAGUGAAAUCCUAUAGCUCAACUAUAGAACUGCUUUGAAAACUGUUAACCUAGAAUAUGGGAGAGGUAGAUGGAAUUUCUGGUGUAGGGGUAAAAUCCGUAGAGAUCAGAAGGAAUACCGAUUGCGAAGGCGAUCUACUGGAACAUUAUUGACGCUGAGACGCGAAAGCGUGGGGAGCAAACAGGAUUAGAUACCCUGGUAGUCCACGCCCUAAACGAUGUACACUAGUUGUUGUGAGGCUUGACCUUGCAGUAAUGCAGUUA